Long non-coding RNA from Camelus dromedarius (Arabian camel), 291 nucleotides. RefSeq lists it as uncharacterized. The transcript is spliced from 3 exons. The record is from RefSeq and is a predicted model, not a curated record. NCBI's taxonomy places the organism in Eukaryota, Metazoa, Chordata, Mammalia, Artiodactyla, Camelidae.
GACUAGAAGGUGGGCAGAGCAGAACCUGGCUGGGAAAAAAGACGUGGGAACUGUGCAUAGAAAGGAUCCAGUCCAGAGUGUCUAAAUCCUCCUCUCCUCUACCAGCAUGCUGAGCCAGUGUGGACACUCUGGAAGCCUGGGACCUGGUGAGCUGGCUGAUUCCUGGCGUGUUUCCUGGUGAUCCCCACCAAAGUCUUGCCCUUGAUAUUGUCACGUUGGAUUCAAGAAACGUAUGGAAGAGGACAGACAGGAAGGCCAUUUGUAAAUGUUUCAAAUGUGAAUUUUCAAUGU